Molecule: long non-coding RNA, 8836 nt
Organism: Pteropus alecto (black flying fox)
Lineage: Eukaryota; Metazoa; Chordata; Mammalia; Chiroptera; Pteropodidae
Exons: 6
Source: RefSeq, a predicted model, not a curated record
GGCCGUCCCCGGAGCCCCGGGGUGGGCCGAGCGGUGGGCCUAACUCCGGGCAGGCGCGGAGCGGUGCUGCUGCACCCCGAGACCGGCCCUCCCUUCCGUGUUUUCUUGCUUCCUUGCACGGCUGGCCUGCCCGGCCCAAUCCCGCGAGCUCCGGUGGGGCCCGUGCGUUGUGCGGAUCCGGGGCUGGGGACCUGGUGGUUCAAAAACAAAGGACAGGCCUCAGGGUGCGGCCGAGCGGAGACGUGCCCCGCCCCGCCCCGCCGAGCCGCGGUGGAGGAGAAGGGUACAAAGGGAAUCCCGCGGGCGCGGGGACCAAGGAGGAAGGGGUGGCCCCGGAGUUUGCCCGAGCGUCAGGGUUUAUGAAAACCCUUUCCCCGGCAGCAUUUCAUGCUGCCCACUUUUCUGAAGUUCAGUCCUGGUCUUUCUGCCAUGGAGUAAGCAGUACACAUUUAAGCGUAUCUGCGAGAGGAAGUGUGAUGCCGUCAGGCGGGCGGAAGGGGCAGCUGAACAGGUUUCUCUCACUUCUCAACUCUGUCCUCUCUGGAGAGAUGUCUUCGCCUUCUUAUUUCAUCCUCACAGGAAGCCUGCAAGGGUUGGUAUAAAGACAGAGGAGAAAUUUCACGGAGGCAUCUCGUGCUGAGUCACAGGAAGGUCCCUGCUGGAGCCGCCUUGGAAUGAGGGAGAGUGUUGGGGUCACGGACAGGAGAUGGAGAGAUCAGCCGGGCUUUCUGCCUUUCGCACCACAGGGAAGGGAUGACCCCAUAGAAUGCAAACUGUCGGCGCUCAGCUUUCAAAUUCCAACAGUCUGGGUGCUGGGGGAUUCAGGAAAUAAAGAUUGGCCCCAGAGCAGGAAACUGUCCCAGCGUGGCAGAGCCACAUGGGACAUGCCAGCACUGCACGGGUGCGGCCAACAGUGCCAGGGAAUCGAGGAGCACAGGCAGCGGGCACCAGCAUGCGACCAGAAGGUCCCCGCACUCACAGUGUGAUCGAGACAAUGGAGAGGACCAGACGCCCACCCACUCCACGUGGCAGUCGCCUGCAAGCCCCUUCAUAACUCAGCCGCAGCACGGGGGGACAUUGUGGGGGACCCCAGGCUCGAGCCACUCACAAGAUGGGACACAAAACAGAGAUCAAGUUGUUUAGUAGAAAAAUUAGGUUCCACAUCUGCUCCCUCUCAGUCGGUGGACUAAGAUUUGCGCGCACGCGGCAGAUCACAGAGCUGAGACACCAGCUGGGGGCGAAGGGAUGCACGUGUUCAGGAGAUGGACGGAUGGGACCCCGUGAUCUGGGAGGGGUGAGUCAGGACAGGGAGAGUCCCGGCGUGGUGGAUGACAGUGUUCUGGCCUCCUGAGAAGGGACAGUACUUUGGACCGGGAAUAAUUCAUAAAACUUUUCCCUGGCCUGAGGAAAUACUCUGAAGAGCGAUGGAUUCCAUUUGCAGCCUCACUAAGCAACCUUCCAACAGCUCAUGUGGUUUCCCAGGUAACCUGGAGGGCAUUCUGGCUUGUUGCUAUCCAUCUUUGAGAGUCUGAUUAGGGAGGUCUUGAGAGCCAGGUCCAGUUCUGGUUGCAUCUGCACUUUCAGAAUCUGAGAGCCAAGGUCCAAACCUUGACGGUUCUGCCAGUUCAGGAUUUCGGGACGCUUUUCUGAAGCUGCUUCAUUAUCACUCUGAUGAGGAGCAGAGUAACUAUUGUCACCUGGCAGGACCAUGUGGAAAGGGGGUGAAGGAGUGAGCACAUGGGAACCACCGGGAGUGACUUCCUGCGGAGGGUCACUGCUCAGAGCCACCGUCCUAAGCCAGGUCCUUGGAGCCUAAGAUUUUCACUUUUAGGAAUCAGUCCUAGGGGAAUGAUCUGAGCCUGAGCAAACAGCAUGUUCCCAUUCAUCAAAGUGUUGUUUAUCAUCCUGGAGAAUGUCUUCCACUUGCUCCAUGCAGCACCCCACAUGUCGACCCUACAUUCUCCGACAAAUGGACCCCAAGAGCUUGUAUGGAGGUUCCACCAGGGGGCUCAGCUACUCGGACACCCUGGACCAAAGAAUCGUCCUCCUCUAUCACGGUAGGCCAAUCUCACUUCAGAACAAUUGAACUUCGAUAGUAGAAAAUCUUAUCCAAUAGUAUAGUGCAGCAUAACUCGGAGAGGCUCAAACAAAUGCCGUGGGGGCUCAGUACGAGGAAGCGUACGCCUGCGGAGCAGGGGCUCUCUGUGUUCGGAACAGAUAGGCUUGCUGCCCAGGCUGCGCCCUCUAGCUCUGCUGACACCUGGAUUUGUCCUCGCCCACUCUCUUUCUCCAAGAAGUUGGGGCUGCAGCUUUCUUGGCCAGGUACGUCCCCUGGAGUAAGCCAAGCUGCUGAGAGCUGUUGAUAGGUCCCAGGCUUUGGUCCCUGGGAAAGGAAACCAAAACAGAGUUGGAGAUGGAAAAAGAGGAAAGAAAGCAUCUUAGAUAUUAAGAGAAUGGGUGGCGUUCUUUCUGUGCCCAGCAGCAGCAGCAGCAGCAGCAGCAGCAGCAGUAGUAGUAGUAGUAAUAAAGGACGGGGUGAGAACCAGAUCUAAGAAAAGAUGUUCAGGUGAACAUAGGUAUACAGAGCCUGAGGAAAGGGAGCAGCUUCUGACAGGUGUGGAGGUGGGUGCCCAGAGCAGCAGUUCAGGCAGCUCCUCAGGGAGACAUGAUGGUGAGAGCAGAGCUUGAUAAACAUUGCAAUUAUGAAAGCAUCUUACUGAGAAAGUAUAACAUCUGGGGGUAUAGCUCAGGGGUAGAGCAUUUGACUGCAGAUCAAGAGGUCCCUGGUUCAAAUCCAGGUGCCCCCUUUGGAAGCCCUCUUUUCCUCCCAGAGAUGAUACUUAGUCCCAUUAGAGGAGGUGGCUCGCGGACCCCAUGAAACAGCUCCCUUAUGGCCAUCCCUUCUGAUUCAGGUUGCGGUCAGGCACCACUUAGCAUUGCCCUGAAGACCAAGGACAACACCAAAUGCAUCUGCAAUAGCCUCUUUGAGAGUCUGUUUCCAGGGACCCCUAUGGGACCAAUUUCAGUAUCCCAUAGGGUCCAGUCCAGAGACAAAAACUGCACCUAACAGAGAACGUAACCUGAAAAAUUGUUAACCAGCGCAUCAGUUUCCUAGAGCUUCUGUAGCAAAGUACCACAAAGUGUGUGAUAUAAACAACAGACAGUUACUAUCUUACAGUUUGGAGGCCAGAGUCUGCAAUCGGGGUGUCAGCAGGGCCAAGCUCUCUGACAGCUCCAAAGGAGGGUCCUUCCUCACCGCCUUCCAGCUCUGCCGUGUGGACGUCCAGGUACUCCUUGUCUCGUAGACAUGUCGCUCCGUCUGCCUUUCUACACGUGGCAUCUUCUCCCUGUGUCUGUCCUCCUUCUAUGAGGACACGGGUCGUAUUGGGUCAGGGGGCUACCUUCCCCGUGGUCACCUCAUCUUCACUAAUUCCAUCUCUCACGACCCUCUCCAAAUAAGGACACAUUCCUGGACACUGGGGCUAGGACUUCAACAUAGCUUUUUGGGGACACAAUUCAACCACAAUGACCAGGAAUUAGAACUGAAGGGCGGCAAGGGAAGACUAAGUCUCAGGGAGGAAGUUUCUGUAGAAGCAGCCACCACUCCAGGGCUGGGGGACAAACACAAGAGGACAAAUGUGGCAAAACUUACAAGAGUGUGUCUGUGCAUCGGUGACGUGGACCACUAAGGAGGUGUCCCUAAAGAGUUAUGACGAUGCCGGGCCUGUGAGCGCCCAACUGAGGGUGGCAGGCGCCAUUGCCACUGGAAUGCACUGUGCCAGGUGACACUGACAGGAACCCAGAGCAGGCAGGGAGGAGCACGUGCUUCUUCCUGCUCCAGGCUUCCACAUCCCUCCGGAGCCCUACUGGCAGGACCGACCAGGAAGCCACCUGGCAAAGAAGGAGGGCGGUGUGCCGAGUCCCCACCCAGCAUCCCAGAGCACACACGGGAGGGUGGAGUCGCAGGCCAGAGACCAUCACUUCUUCAGUCGUCUCUUCAGACGGCUCGUCUCACCAGCAGUUAGAGGGCUGACGGUGUGGGGAUCCCGGGCCCAGAGGAGGGGUCAGCCUGCGCCCCAGGGUGCGGCACUGUGCAGGGAGCUCCCUUCCGUUUCGGGUCAGUGUGUCUUCUAGCUUUGCGGCGCUGUGUGCCUAGCCAGGCCCUAGGGUGUUUUCAGGUGCUCAGCAUGAAACCCACAAGGUAGACGUGGUCCUUCCAGCUGCAAGGGAUGCUCCCCAUUCACUGCCCCCCUCGGGGACUGAUGGUGCAGAAUGGAGCUGGGGGAGGAGGGAACCUCCUGCUUCUAGUGCCGGGAGCUGAGUUCGCAGUAGAGCAGGUCUGGCAGCUCCGCCGGCCUACGUGAAGGGGCAUCUGGGCAGAAGCCCUGGGUGUGGCUGCACAGGGAGGACGUUUACUGGACCUCACUGGUGCCGCUGGGGGUAUAGCUCAGGGGCAGAGCAUUUGACUGCAGAUCAAGAGGUCCCCAGUUCGAAUCUGGGUGCCCCCUAGCAUUUUAGUCACUCAAGGUGGUGAAGGAGUUCUCACGUCCUCUCCUCUUGCUGCAUCCGGUCUCCGCAUCUUCCUGCAAAGGGUGAAGAAGCAGAGGAGACCCUUUCCGCCUAGGCCAGGGCCACUCUGCUCUGUCCUUCCCACUCUCCCCUCCGCCCUGUCCCCGCUCUCCACUGUGAACUUGAUCUCCUGGCCGCGGGUGAGGACUGUCUUCUGAAGGUCGCCAGAGAAAGAAGGCUGAGAUCACCUACACAGGAACAGUGGUCGGACCGCUGGCCGACUCUCAACAGCCGUAAGGAAGCCGAAGACAGUGCAACGACACGUGACGGUCAGCCCUGAUCUUGUCCCAGCCAAACUGUUCACGGAAAGACGAAAGCUGAGUUUACUCCUAAGAGACCCUCACCGGAGAAAAUUAUAAAUACAUACUUUAGAGAAAAGAAAAACGAUUCCAGGUGUGAGGUCUGAGAUACAAGAAGAAAAACUGAACGAAGAAAUUGUAAGAUAUGGAAGCCAAUCUAAAAUUAUCGGCCAUGCAAUAUAAUAUUAAUGUCUAAUUUAUUAAGUUAUUUAAAAGACAAUGAAAAUACUGGUUCACGAUCACAUAUGAGGAGUGGGGUGAUCGCAGUAACGUGUUUGUGUAAGUUGGGAAGAGGAUCAAGAUAUUGACUAACUUAGACUUAAAAUUUGCAUGUAGCAAUUCCUAGGGCAUCACUUUAAAGGUUGUGGUUUUGCCGGGCUGAAGGCGGUCAGGGAAUGUGGGCUCCAUGCUAGUCGUCUUGGCAGACAGGCAUCAGUGUUAGUAAUUUAUUUGCUGAUUCUUUUAGAUUCCCUAUGUAUAUGAUCACAUCUAAAAAACGUAAACGUUUUAUUUCCUCCUCUCUAAUCCUUAUAUCUUUUAUUUCUUUCUUUUUCACCUUAUUGUACUGGCCAGGACCUCCAGUAUAAUGCUGAAUAAAGGUGUUGACAGGAGCUGUCUUGUCUCAUUCUGAUUUUAAAUGAAAAGCUUUCAACAUUUCACCAUUGAGUACAUGUUGUGGACUAUACUUUUUGAAAAUGGUCUAUAUUAAAUCAAGAAAUUUUUCUUCUAGUUCACAAAAAAUUAUGGAUAGAUGUGGAAAUUUAUCAAAACUCCUUUUUUUGCAUUUAUUGAGAAAAUCACGAUCUUUCUCCUUUAGAUUAUUAACAUGGUGAAUUACAUUUAUUGCUUUUUGUAAAAUGGAACACAUUUUGCAUUCCAUAUGUAAAUCCAACUUGGUCAGGAAGUUAUAUCAUUUUCACAUAUUGUUUAUAUUGUAGAUUCAGUUAGGUUAUCAUUUAUUUAAUUUUGUACCUGUGUUAUGAGUGAGAUUGGCCUGUACAUUUUUUAUAUUGUUCUUGCUGGGUUUUGGUGUGAAGGUUGCACUUUAGAUGUGCCUUUUGUAAAUAGAAUACAGUUGGUUGGUUGUCUUAACCCAAUAUGACAAUCCGUCUUUUCAUCUGGGGCAUUUCAUUUAUUUACUUUCAAUGUAAUUGCUGAUAUAUUUGUAUUCAAAUUGUCACCUUAUUUUGUUUUCAAUUUAUAUCGCUUGUUUUCCUCUCCUCGUUAAUUUUUAUUCGAGAUUUUUAUCAUGCCAUGAUUUCCCCCUGCUGAUUUAAAAAACAUAAAUGCUAUUUUUUUUUAUUUUAGGGGUUAUACUAAAUACUCCCUGUAUGUAGUUAUUUCUCAAAGCCUGUUGGUUAACCAAUAACUUCACCCUCCUCCCGGGCAGCACAAGCCUCUUAGAACACUUAGAACACUGUAACUCCAUUUCUCUCCCAACUUAUCGUGAGUGGUCCUUAUUAAUUUAAUAUCCAGUUGUACUCCUCCAACAGCCUUUGUUACAUCGCAGUGAAAUUCACUCUAGGCCCCUAACUUGUGGUGUUAAUGUGUCUUCCAAGCCACUGUGUGUGAGGAGGGCUCACGGACCUACUUGGUGGCUCUUGGAGUUUCUCCAGGGCUCUCCCUUCCCCUGCUGCAGUGAGCGUGACAUGUUCGUUCCAUAUGUCCACUGUGCUGGGGCCGGUAGCUGGUUCUCCUAAAGCUGCUCCUGUGUCUUCAAAGUUGGGCGCAUGUUUUUUUCUUGAGUGAUUACAGUUUUCAGCCUAAUUAAGUUUCCGGGUUUACAAUGUCUCUUACUUGACGGUCACAUGAUAUCCCCAAGGGACCAGAAAGGCGCGAGCCUCAGGGACAUCACCUCGUGUUACACACCUGGGGUGGAAAUGGCAGCUCGGUCUCUGGAUGUCUCUUCCUUGCUUUCAGAGGAAAUCAUGAACAGGCAUGGAUGCGGCUACUUUUAUAAGAUUCUGCUUAGCUUCCUACACCAUCGCACCAGGUCAGCCCCUCUGUUCUCCUCGGGUAAAGAAGAUAUUUCCCUACAUAGCCUCAGAAGAAUCUCGCCUCAAGCUUUAUUUAGGUCAUCCCGAACCAACUUUCAACAUCUUUAUUUUCUGGCUGACUUCAGAAAGUCAUAACCCACAAGGAAGUCAGCUACAAUGGAGUUUUGCAUUUUAGAGUGAGAAAGACCUGAGUUUGGAUAUCGUCGCUAACUUCUGCCAUCUCUGUGACACCAGGCAAGUCAUUUGGACCCUUGGAACGUCAGUUUCCAUAUCUGAAACAUUAGUGUGUAUAAGAAUGGCUAUACAGAGUUGUAUAAAACCAUGUAUACUGAGCUACAGGAGCAAGUUAAGAGAUGUUCGAGGUCAUUUUGUCUCUAUAUGAUUUUUGCCCAAUAUGCUCUGUUUUAUGCCGAAUCGUCUGUAGAUCAGGCCAGGAGAAUAAAUAAGACUUGAGAGAAGAGAGCCAAGGAGACUUCCGGGUAGGAAGAAAAAGGUGCCUGUCAGCAUACUAGACAGUCCGAGGCCAAGGGACAUGGGGACAAAGCAUAGAAAAACAACAAAAGUCAAUGGGGAAAGACAAAAAGAGUAAGUAAAUGUAUCAAUCUCAGAAUUUCAGUGGCCAUCAGUGGUAAAAACAAGAUAAUUCUGACCCAGUUACAGCAUAUAAAUAUAAAAAUAUUUAAAUAAUUUAAAAUAGCAUCCAUAACGUCAGCCUAGGUGGAUAAUAAUCACUUGGAAAGUUUCAUCUACAAUCACAGUAAUGGGACCACUACACAGUGGCCAGGUCUUCCGGUAUGCCUAGAUGAGAACCACGAGCAUGGGUCUUGGUGCAGUGACUUUUGGCUUCAGGCUCAGUGUUUAGCCAAAUCCUGUUGUUCAGAUGUUGGCUUCAGCCUUGGCCAUUGCAAAGUGGAAUAGUGAAUGUUCACUUAGUGUCAUUUCUGGCAUCUUAGACUUGUACGUAAGUGACAACUGUGCGGUCGGGUAAAUUUCCAUCAGGAUCUCGUCAGGGCACCAGUCUUCAGUAACAGAAACGUGGCAUGUCAUUCGUAGCUGUUGUUGAUGUCUGAAUAGCUGCUUCCAAAUUGAGGUGUUCUCAAUUCUAGAUGUAACUUGAGGUGCAAACUUUGAUGAUGCACUUUAUAUGUUGAAAUGCUAACAGUCAGUUGAAGUAUGUAAUUGUAUUUUUAACAUUGCAAAAGUAAAAUGCUACAGUGAUUAUUGAGAAUUAUGAAAGGUGUUGAUUCUGUGUAAUAAAUGAGAACUUUCACUGUUAAAUAUAUGAUAAUUCUGAUUACUAUCGAAUUAUUUGGUGUAAUCACGUUCAUAACACUAAAAUAGUCUUUAGAAACUAAUGUUUAAUUAUUUAAUUCCAUUUAGUCUGUGAAUCUUAAAAAGGAAAAGCCGUAUAUGGUUAUUUUUCACAUUACUAGGAGGAUAAAUAAAAGAAUGGCCAUGUGGCUACCUCAGAAAUUCACAAGGACAGAAAAUACUCAUGUACAACACAUAUACGAAAAAUCAUAUUUGAUUGAGACAUGAUUAAAAAUAUAAAGAGAGCAUGAAAAAAUUGAAAGUUUACAUAAAAAUGAGACACUCAAAAUACAUUUGUUCUCUAAACCACAAACUUUACAAGAAUGCUUUUAAUAAGACUAUGCCUCAUGGUUUGGGAUCUGUGCAGUCUAAUACUUUUUAAAGCUUGUAGAAAUAAUUGCUAUAGACUGAUAACCAUUUUCAGCAGUUGAAGAAAAAGAACUUUUGAGAUUUGCCAAAGCUACAAAUUCUAAAUAUUGAUUUCUUUCAGAAAAUAUUCUUAAAAUAUUUUUUCUGAUUUAUAUUUUGCUGUGUAUAAAAAGUUUAACGAAAUUAUUAAAUACACUACUGUAUAUGGUACAUGUGACAUUUGAACAUGAUGAAUCAAUGUUAAUUUUUUAAAUUCGAUAGCGUAGAAGAUUAAAGAUUAAUUCAACCAUG